Molecule: long non-coding RNA, 685 nt
Organism: Girardinichthys multiradiatus
Lineage: Eukaryota; Metazoa; Chordata; Actinopteri; Cyprinodontiformes; Goodeidae
Exons: 3
Source: RefSeq, a predicted model, not a curated record
GUUUUCAUGGAGAGUAACAGUUGGAGAGUUUUCAUGGAGAGUUCAUGGAGAGUUCCCUGUUGUGCCUGUGAUUCGCUGUGUUCCUCCUCUUUCAUUAAGCUCCCUCAGGUGCUGGAGUACUGGUGGAGGUGACAGGUGUUCCCUAUCUUCACUGAUGAGCUUCGGUGUAAUUUAAGCAGCAGGCAGCCAGCAUCUCAACGCUCGAGUGUUAGCCCUCAGUGAUCGAGACUACCUGGAUACUACCCAGACUGGAUUGCCGCCUUGCUUUGUGAAAGUAUAUUUUUGGAGUACCUUUGCUUCACAGAAGCCACGUCGUUAUUAUCCUACUGGACUACCUUGCUGGCUGCCGCCAAGUGCUUCCUGGCUCACACCGAUUCCACAGAACCUGUCCACCCUCCACCGCUCUCAAGCGACCCAGCUCCGGCACCGUACUACCACUCAUUAUUGCACAGUCCUGGUUUGGAAGCCUUCGUACCACCGCAGCCACCGCACUGUGUGCUCUUUCUGGUCAAUCUGAAUCCCUCUCCUCCUGGCGGAGAACUCACCCAGCCUAGUAAGGAAAUGCUUAUUCAUUAAUCCAUUCUUGGUUUUACUCCUACUUACUGCUCGCUUCUUUUUUACGGCCUACCCCUCCAUGUACCAGAGCGCCCAGUAUUCCUGUAUUCAUUAAAAUCAUUAUAAACUU